This 468-nucleotide ribosomal RNA is filed under the name uncultured bacterium. RNAcentral describes it as "partial 16S ribosomal RNA". It matches the Rfam family "Bacterial small subunit ribosomal RNA", at positions 28 to 507 of the family's 1533-position model. The record is from RNAcentral.
GACGAACGCUGGCGGCGUGCUUAACACAUGCAAGUCGAACGGAAAGGCCCUGCUUUUGCGGGGUGCUCGAGUGGCGAACGGGUGUGUAACACGUGAGUAACCUGCCCUUGACUUUGGGAUAACUUCAGGAAACUGGGGCUAAUACCGGAUAGGAGCUCCUGCUGCAUGGUGGGGGUUGGAAAGUUUCGGCGGUUGGGGAUGGACUCGCGGCUUAUGAGCUUGUUGGUGGAGUAAUGGCUUACCAAGGCUUUGACGGGUAGCCGGCCUGAGAGGGUGACCAGCGUCAUUGGGCCUGAGAUACGGACCAGUAUCGUACGGGAGGCAACAGGCGGGAGCAUUGCACAAUGGGGGGAAGCCUGAUGCGGCAACCCUGCGUGCGGGAUGACGGCCUUCGGGUUAUGAACCGCUUUCGCCUGUGACGAAGCGUGCGUGACGGUAAUGGGUAAAGAAGCACCGGCUAACUACGUG